Molecule: long non-coding RNA, 1355 nt
Organism: Xiphias gladius (swordfish)
Lineage: Eukaryota; Metazoa; Chordata; Actinopteri; Istiophoriformes; Xiphiidae
Exons: 3
Source: RefSeq, a predicted model, not a curated record
UCGUCGGGGGUUAACCGCGAUUUCAGCAAACACGUAAUUCACCAGGCAACUUUUUUUUUUAUAAAUCGGCUUUGUUAACCUACAGUCGAUCCACGUACCCCAGGUAGGGAAUAAAUAGUAAAGGGCUCACAGUUAACUUUAGAGGAGAAAGUAUCGCAGGGUGGUCUGGUCGCUAUUACUGAUCUUAAGCUAAACCCUCCCUUUGUUGCCGUUUUCUGUUUCGGCCGAUGUAUAAAGCCGUUUGAGCCUUUUGCAAUCGUGUUCACUAGCCACACCAACGCUAAUCGCCAACCAGCUAGCUGCCCGCUGUCAACUGACAUUUAUGACAUAGUUUAACAAAUGUCUGCUUACUUUCAUUGAAAAAAAAUAGCCAAACAUAUGAGACUACAACUGGGACGUUACCAAACAAAAAUACUUACCUGGCAGUUAUAUUUGGUACAUUCGGUACAGAGACAGGAAAAUAUUCUUCCGUGUGCUAACCAACGUCGAGAUAAACACAACAACACGGCCGCGGUCUCGGUUUGAAACGGACCAAUCGGAUUCAAGCAGCAACUGCACAUGCGUCCUUUCCAUGCCGCGUUAAGGAACUGCUUUUGUGGUCGGAAGUCUCACGAACAGGUCCGGAGGCAAUGGCGUGUUUAAGGAGGAAGUGCAUCUCCGUCUCAACCUCACUCGCUGAACUGUGACCACUCGACUGCCGGUUUGUGGUCGCUGGGCCUGUACUUGGUCGGGAUCUGCCUCCGCUUUCUAUCUGACAGUUUUAUCAUUUGUUUUACUCUGACGGGUGUCUGGAAAGCAGUGUUGUUGUGGGACUGGUCAGAGUGUGUUUGAGAGGGUGGGGGGCAGCUAGUCUCAGCACCAACUGACACAGGGGACUCCUCUCUGGGCUCAGCUCUUGAAAGCAGCCCAGAUGCCAGUUCCCAGGACCAGCAGGUACAAAAAAACAGCAUCGCCACUGCUCCCGGGAUGUGACCAGCCAUUGUGAUUGACUGACUGGCUGCGCACAUGUACGGUAUGCUUUCAUAAAGAACGGAGAAAGCCGAAUGGGGAAGAUACUAAACUGCUCCACAUUAAGGGAUGCAAUUCAGAUCUUGCCUCUGGGGGGUAGCCGCAGCCAAUUUUUGUAGCAGUGUCACAGGGACCAUAGCCAAAGCUCCUUUAUUCUGAGCAUUAAAUGCAGUUUGUAGGAACAAAAAUUAAAAAGUUUGGUAGAUUGCAUGAAGAAAACGGUUUCCUCGAAAACCUCUUGGUGAGAUUCUUUUUCAUCUAACUCCUCCUUGUGUCCUUUGGCACCAUCUGUUGGUGUCAGUGGUUGUGGUGAGUGCUGAGCUUUCAGCACUGACAAAUCCCCCAUC